GACGAACGCUGGCGGCGUGCUUAACACAUGCAAGUCGAACGGAAAGGCCCUGCUUUUGUGGGGUGCUCGAGUGGCGAACGGGUGAGUAACACGUGAGUAACCUGCCCUUGACUUUGGGAUAACUUCAGGAAACUGGGGCUAAUACCGGAUAGGAGCUCCUGCUGCAUGGUGGGGGUUGGAAAGUUUCGGCGGUUGGGGAUGGACUCGCGGCUUAUCAGCUUGUUGGUGGGGUAGUGGCUUACCAAGGCUUUGACGGGUAGCCGGCCUGAGAGGGUGACCGGCCACAUUGGGACUGAGAUACGGCCCGAACUCCUACGGGAGGCAGCAGUGGGGAAUUUUGCACAAUGGGCGGAAGCCUGAUGCAGCAACGCCGAGUGCGGGAUAACGGCCUUCGGAUUGUAAACCGCUUUCGCCUGUGACGAAGCGUGAGUGACGGUAAUGGGUAAAGAAGCACCGGCUAACUACGUG
RNAcentral lists this ribosomal RNA (468 nucleotides) under uncultured bacterium. RNAcentral's name for it is "partial 16S ribosomal RNA". It matches the Rfam family "Bacterial small subunit ribosomal RNA", at positions 28 to 507 of the family's 1533-position model. The record is from RNAcentral.